AAGUCGUAACAAGGUUUCCGUAGGUUGCUAGGGUUUGCCUACGCCAUCAGUCCACAUGGGCAACACCUUUACUGUGCUAGGAAUCACUAUAAUGUGGUACUAGCAGCUCGAGCAAGUCGAGUUCACAGGUCAAAUAAGGGUGGCUCUAGCAAGUAGAGUUGAGAUAUGAUCGAGCGGCAGUUCUAGGGAGCUGCAAUAGAAAGUGGAACCUGCGGAAGGAUCAUUAUAGAGAACAUGCCCUCUUUGGGUAUAUCUCCCACCCUCUGUUUACAAUGCCUCUGUUGCUUUGGUGGGCCCGUCUCAUGACCGCCGGCUGUAGCUGGUCUGUGCCCACCAGAGGACCUUAAAAUUCUUUGUUAUGUUGUCUGAGCACUACACAAAUAAUUAAAACUUUCAACAACGGAUCUCUUGGCUCUGGCAUCGAUGAAGAACGCAGCGAAAUGCGAUAAGUAAUGCGAAUUGCAGAAUUCAGUGAGUCAUCGAAUCUUUGAACGCACAUUGCACCCUCUGGUAUUCCAGGGGGUAUGCUUGUUCGAGCGUCAUUUAAACCCUCAAGCACUGCUUGGUGUUGGAUGCUAUCACUUGUGGUGUGUCCUAAAGGCAUUAGUGGUGGCAUUUAGCUUCUAGUGUAGUAAUUUUUCUCGCUUUGGAGGUAGAUGUCUGACUGCUGGAACCCUCAUUUAUCAAGGUUGACCUCGGAUCAGGUAGGGAUACCCGCUGAACUUAA
RNAcentral lists this ribosomal RNA (727 nucleotides) under uncultured fungus. Its description in RNAcentral is "eukaryotic LSU rRNA". The stretch from base 389 to 542 matches the Rfam family "5.8S ribosomal RNA". The record is from RNAcentral. Lineage: Eukaryota; Fungi.